This 210-nucleotide ribosomal RNA is filed under the name uncultured Desulfocapsa sp. Its description in RNAcentral is "partial 16S ribosomal RNA". It matches the Rfam family "Bacterial small subunit ribosomal RNA", at positions 1175 to 1382 of the family's 1533-position model. Lineage: Bacteria; Pseudomonadati; Thermodesulfobacteriota; Desulfobulbia; Desulfobulbales; Desulfocapsaceae. The record is from RNAcentral.
GGGGAUGACGUCAAGUCCUCAUGGCCUUUAUGACCAGGGCUACACACGUACUACAAUGGCAGGUACAAAGGGCAGCCACUUAGCGAUAAGGCGCGAAUCCCGUAAAACCUGUCUCAGUCCGGAUUGGAGUCUGCAACUCGACUCCAUGAAGUUGGAAUCGCUAGUAAUCGCAGAUCAGCACGCUGCGGUGAAUACCGGUUCCCGGGCCUU